Crenichthys baileyi (White River springfish) is the source of this 76-nucleotide non-coding RNA. The record is from the annotation of a GenBank genome assembly. Lineage: Eukaryota; Metazoa; Chordata; Actinopteri; Cyprinodontiformes; Goodeidae.
AGCCGAGUGGCGCAGCGGAAGCGUGCUGGGCCCAGAAUUCAGAAGAUGAUGGAUGGAUGGAAACCAUCCUCUGCUA